This 253-nucleotide ribosomal RNA is filed under the name uncultured bacterium. RNAcentral describes it as "partial 16S ribosomal RNA". It matches the Rfam family "Bacterial small subunit ribosomal RNA", at positions 524 to 776 of the family's 1533-position model. The record is from RNAcentral.
UACAGAGGUCUCAAGCGUUGUUCGGAUUCAUUGGGCGUAAAGGGUGUGUAGGUGGCGCCGUAAGUCGGGUGUGAAAUUUCGGAGCUUAACUCCGAAACUGCAUUCGAUACUGCGGUGCUUGAGGACUGGAGAGGAGACUGGAAUUCAUGGUGUAGCAGUGAAAUGCGUAGAUAUUGGGAGAAACACCAGUGGCGAAGGCGGCUACCUGGACCGGUUCUGACGCUGAUGCGCGAAAGCGUGGGUAGCAAACAGG